RNAcentral lists this ribosomal RNA (464 nucleotides) under uncultured bacterium. RNAcentral describes it as "partial 16S ribosomal RNA". It matches the Rfam family "Bacterial small subunit ribosomal RNA", at positions 339 to 795 of the family's 1533-position model. The record is from RNAcentral.
CUACGGGGGGCUGCAGUGGGGAAUAUUGCACAAUGGGCGCAAGCCUGAUGCAGCCAUGCCGCGUGUAUGAAGAAGGCCUUCGGGUUGUAAAGUACUUUCAGCGGGGAGGAAGAGAGUAAAGUUAAUACCUUUGCUCAUUGACGUUACCCGCAGAAGAAGCACCGGCUAACUCCGUGCCAGCAGCCGCGGUAAUACGGAGGGUGCAAGCGGUAAUCGGAAUUACUGGGCGUAAAGCGCACGCAGGCGGUUUGUUAAGUCAGAUGUGAAAUCCCCGGGCUCAACCUGGGAACUGCAUCUGAUACUGGCAAGCUUGAGUCUCGUAGAGGGGGGUAGAAUUCCAGGUGUAGCGGUGAAAUGCGUAGAGAUCUGGAGGAAUACCGGUGGCGAAGGCGGCCCCCUGGACGAAGACUGACGCUCAGGUGCGAAAGCGUGGGGAGCAAACAGGAUUAGAUACCCGGGUAGUC